GGGGCCUUAGCUCAGUUGGUAGAGCACUGCCUUUGCAAGGCAGGUGUCAGGGGUUCGACUCCCCUAGGCUCCACAA
Molecule: transfer RNA, 76 nt
Filed under: Mycobacterium sp. 1274756.6
Lineage: Bacteria; Bacillati; Actinomycetota; Actinomycetes; Mycobacteriales; Mycobacteriaceae
Description: tRNA-Ala
Rfam family: tRNA
About the family: Transfer RNA (tRNA) molecules are approximately 80 nucleotides in length. Their secondary structure includes four short double-helical elements and three loops (D, anti-codon, and T loops). Further hydrogen bonds mediate the characteristic L-shaped molecular structure. tRNAs have two regions of fundamental functional importance: the anti-codon, which is responsible for specific mRNA codon recognition, and the 3' end, to which the tRNAs corresponding amino acid is attached (by aminoacyl-tRNA synthetases). tRNAs cope with the degeneracy of the genetic code in two manners: having more than one tRNA (with a specific anti-codon) for a particular amino acid; and 'wobble' base-pairing, i.e. permitting non-standard base-pairing at the 3rd anti-codon position.
Source: RNAcentral